GACGAACGCUGGCGGCGUGCCUAAUACAUGCCAGUCGAACGAGAGCGACCGGUGCUUGCACUGGUCAAUCUAGUGGCGAACGGGUGAGUAACACGUGGGUAACCUGCCCAUCAGAGGGGGAUAACAUCCGGAAACGGAUGCUAAAACCGCAUAGGUCUUCGAGCCGCAUGGCUUGAAGAGGAAAAGAGGCGCAAGCUUCUGCUGAUGGAUGGACCCGCGGUGCAUUAGCUAGUUGGUGAGGUAACGGCUCACCAAGGCCGUGAUGCAUAGCCGACCUGAGAGGGUGAUCGGCCACAUUGGGACUGAGACACGGCCCAAACUCCUACGGGAGGCAGCAGUAGGGAAUCUUCCGCAAUGGACGCAAGUCUGACGGAGCAACGCCGCGUGAGUGAAGAAGGUCUUCGGAUCGUAAAACUCUGUUGUUAGAGAAGAACAAGUGCUAGAGUAACUGUUAGCGCCUUGACGGUAUCUAACCAGAAAGCCACGGCUAACUACGUG
This 498-nucleotide ribosomal RNA is filed under the name uncultured bacterium. Its description in RNAcentral is "partial 16S ribosomal RNA". It matches the Rfam family "Bacterial small subunit ribosomal RNA", at positions 28 to 507 of the family's 1533-position model. The record is from RNAcentral.